ACAUAUUUAACAUUCUUUUUGGGUAUUUUCCAGGAAAGAGCUUGCAAAUGGAUCGACUCUCCCUUAUUCAACUUAUGUUCCAGUCCUCUUGAUCAAGCACCCUAGACUCCAGUCUCACACACGAUCUCCUGACUUAUGCUGGUCCAUGCUGGGAGGAAGUCAGCUGACAUGUCAUGAGGAAACUCAGGCAACAGAUGGAGAAAUCCUUGAGGUGAAGAACCGAGGCCUCGUGCCAACAGCCACAUGAGUGAUUUUAGA
Molecule: long non-coding RNA, 258 nt
Organism: Diceros bicornis minor
Lineage: Eukaryota; Metazoa; Chordata; Mammalia; Perissodactyla; Rhinocerotidae
Exons: 3
Source: RefSeq, a predicted model, not a curated record